Molecule: long non-coding RNA, 3157 nt
Organism: Orbicella faveolata
Lineage: Eukaryota; Metazoa; Cnidaria; Anthozoa; Scleractinia; Merulinidae
Source: RefSeq, a predicted model, not a curated record
UCGGAAGAAGGGUCGAAGAUUUCACAGCAACUCAAAAAGCGUAUUGAGGUGACAGAAAGAUAUCCUGAAAUUGAACUAGCAUAUUUGAUUGGAUGGCCGUCCUGCAGAAGUUCAAGCCUCCAGUCAGAGCCCCUUUCCAUGUUGUUCCAAACAGAUUAUUUGAUACAGUAACAAGCAACUAUAGCAAAAGGAUAGAUGUUGUAUUCGAUGUAUAUCAAGAACAAUCUAUUAAGAAUGUGGAGAGGUCAGAAAGGGCUUCCGAAUCUGAUAGAAUCAAGUACAAGAACAUUCUGCCUGGUUACAAGGUUAAGUCAUGGAGCAAACUGUCGAGUGCUGCCUCAAACAAGGUUGAGAUUGUGAAGUUGCUUGUGUCUCAGUGGGAAAAGGAAGAGUUCAGGGGCAAGCUUGGUGACAGAACAUUGUAUGUUACUAUUCAGGAUGAAUGCUAGAAGUUAGACUCCACCAUGUCUGAGCCGGUUCCUGAAUUGAAGUGCAGUCACAAAGAAGCUGACACAUGCAUGAUCCUCCAUGCACAGCAUGCUGGCAGUACGUGAUAGUUAUUCCAAGGAUACAGGUGUCCAAAUCCUGCUUCUUAGCCAUGGUCAAGCCCUUGGAAAGUGUUACAUAAAGAAAGACAGAAGCAUGAAGACUAGCAUAAUUGAACUGUCCAUUGUGGCAGAGAGUCUUUUCAAGCAGCUAAGUCCGGGCAUAUCAGAGUACAUGCAUUGACAGGAUGUGAGACAGUAUCCGCAUCUUCUGGAAAGGGAAAGUGGAACGCAAUCCAACUACUUCUCAAGAAUGAAAGUUGUGUGAAAGCAAUGGUGGAAAUAGGAGAGACAUGGAGUGUAUCCAAUGCAACAUUUAAUGCUGCUGAAGCUCUAGUAUGUCACCUGUAAAGGCCAGAAUGUGGAUCUGUUACACUAUGAGCUGUUCUGUGCAAAGGGAAGAAAAGUAGAUCCAGAAGCACUGCCAUGUAGGACGUCGCUGCGUCUACACAUGAAGUGUGCCAAUUAUCAAGCAGUUAUCUGGAGAACAGCUGUGAUUCCGCAUCCAGAUGUUCCCUCUCCUCACGGGCACAGCUGAAAAGUAUGCAGUACAUCGAAGCUAGUGGAAUUUGUCUGGCUUGGAAGUAAGCCUGCUCCAGAAGAAGUCCUCGAACUAAUGUCUUGCACAUGCAAAAGAGUUUGCUCUGUGGAAACAUGCUCUUGUUUGAGAGCUGGACUCAAAUGCACUGACAUGUGUACUUUGCAAUGUGAGAACAUGGUGUUAGAUAACGUUCUUGAGAAUGAAAAUCCAGAUGGAAGUGAUGACAAAGAUGCUGAUGAUUGACUACAUUAAUCACAGCUUAAAUCAGCCAGUAAAGGUUUCGAAACAUUUAUGUUUUGCUUAUUCAUGUUAACCUCUGAAUACUUCGGUGACUUCAGUUCCCACUUUCUUUCCAGUUCUAAUCCUGUCUGUCUGAAACAUAAGGAUGCUAAUCUGCAUAGUCUAGAACCAUGACAACUCAUAAAGUGAUCAAACAAACGAAAGAAUUUGUAAGUAUUGUGCUUUAAAAACCUCACUUGUAAAUUAAAACUAAAUAGAAAGUGGAGUAAAAAAGUUUUAUUGAAAGGUCAUCCUGCCUGUGGACAAGAAAAGUAAGGAAAACUAAAAAAUUUUGCAUAAGCUCUGAAAAAAUGACGUCAUUCAUGAUGUCAUAUCGUUAUUGUUCCAAUAAUGACAAGAACAUGAAAUAUACAUAUGGAUUCCCUUAAAUACAUCCUUCAUUAAUGUUUUAACCUGCUUUGGGUAUAAUUUUAUGAACCUGCAUACUCUACAAGAAAAUCUCAUUUAACACAAAAUGGCAGCUAUUGGUUGAGUUGAAUGAGCACAUUUCAAACAUGACUUUUAGAAUGAAGGCUACCGUUAUUGUGUGAUGCAUUAUAUAUAUACUUAGUAUUUUAACCAGUUGUAAAUAAUUAAUGUCUUAAUUUUUUUUAUUAUCAGGAGAUAAACUAGAAAGGGAUAACCUCUUUUAUCUCCUUUUCACUUUCCUGUGGAUUUGUGAAUAAACAGUCAUUAUUUUAUUAUUAUUUAUUUUAGGUAAGUAGAGCCUUAGUCGUUCAAUUUCUUUGAUAUACUUAUCAAUACAAGUUUAAGGAAGUACGUCAAGGAACCAGAAUAGCGAACUUCACCAAUCGACAUCCUUUAUAACACAAGUUUCACCAACAGGCAAAAGUAAAAAACACAAAGGAUGCAAAUGGCCUAUGAGAUCCUGGAGGGGAGGAUAUCAUGAGUAUAAAUUCCUUUAAUGUUGAGCAGGGCACAAGGACAUAGUACAAUCUAUUGGUAUGUAAAGUCGAAAUGGCAUUAUUUGUUUACAUGUACAUUAUAAAUCAACAUGUCACGAUAUAACGUAACAAGCUCAAAUCUUAUGUUACAGCUUUACGAGUCUUGCACAAUUUGGAAACACAGUACUGUUUUGCCCACAGGGUGAUGCAAGGUAUACAGCUACAUGCAGUGUGCAGAGAUCAGUGAUAACCUUAGCCAAUGCAAUACCUCAAUGAUUAGUAGAUUUAAAUUUUGAAUUUCUUACCAUGGAAAACUGACUCAUACUGAAUUUGCUGCAAUGACAGUAAAACCCAAAGAAAGCUACCAGCAGGGUGCAAAGAUGAAGCUCAGACAUCGCUCAAAAUUAAAGAUCAGAAAUGACAAAUUGUAGCAAGGGAAAAGCUGUGGGCAUAGGAAAAAUAGUACAUCAGUAAUAGCAGAAAGGCUGAAGGGUGCAUAUGUACGUCUGUGUGUUGGUCCUUGAACGUAAGCACCAUGUGGCUGAAUUGUUUGAUUUAUCUUUAUUUUCAUGGUUUUAGAAACCACAACCCUACACUUCAUCCACAUCUUCUGACUUUAAACCUGCCAAGUUAUCAAAUCUGGUGAGCAGUUGCUUGUUUAAAGUGGCAUGCACAGAGAUACAUUAAUGUACAUCAAUUUUUGUUAAUAGUUGAAGAAAAGGAAACUAUUCGAGAGUAUCAGAAAAGACAUGAAGAAACACGAAGUUCCCCAACAAUCUAAAAGGCUGUGCAUGCCCACGGAACGUACAGACAAUACUGCUUUCAGCUCUGAUGAUGGGGAUCAUGAAGAUCAAGCAGUAAUUAAUCUCGUUCUUGAAGAUAAAAAA